Bubalus bubalis (water buffalo) is the source of this 2579-nucleotide long non-coding RNA. RefSeq lists it as uncharacterized. The record is from RefSeq and is a predicted model, not a curated record. NCBI's taxonomy places the organism in Eukaryota, Metazoa, Chordata, Mammalia, Artiodactyla, Bovidae. The transcript has 3 exons.
UGUUCUGUGAGAGAGAACUUAACUUCCAUCUUGUUUGAGGUUUGAGAUGUGACAUCUGGAGUCUCUUUGUUACGACUUAUAAAGCUUGCACUUUAUUAUCAGAGAUGGGAAGGGAAGCAUCAUCCUCUCCAAAGCAAUCUGUAAGGUCAGUUUCAUCAGAAGCAGGAGAAAUGGUCACAUGCUCAUUGCAAUUGUUGCUAUUAUUGGCAUAUGAUCAUGUGCAGAAGCUACAUUCAGGACAAACAUUCACAGCUCCUGCGUAGACUAGACUGUCUGGUUUGAGAUUCCUAACCAGACCUGUGCUUCCAGCUAGCCUGGUGCUAUCUGAUCAUGAAAGAGAGCAGAAGAACGCAAGACGAUACAGAAGCACUAGCUUUGCUCUGCUGUUUGGUCCUCUCUCAGUACAGAUCUUGAGUGGACACCAGAGAUUACUAUAAGAAUGAAAAAUUAAGCAGUAAAGGAAUGACCAGCUCUCCACUCCCAAUAGCCCCCUUAGCAAUCCUGCAGGCAGACCACAAAGGGAUGAGAUGCCAUCUGAAGAAAGAUCACAAGGAGUCAGCCAGCCAGCACACGAUAGAAAUUGAUGUGGAGCUUGACCUCCUGCCUUGAUGAUUCAUUAAGAUCCUUCUCCCCUUUUCCCUUUAAAAACUGCCACGGCUGACAUUAAAAAGAAUGAAGUAAUGCCAUUUGCAGCAACAUAGAUGGACCUACAGAUUGUCAUACUAAGUGAAGUAAGUCAGACAGAGAAGGAGAAGUAUCAUAUGACAUCCUGGAAUCUAGAAAGAAUUGAUACAAAUGUACUUAACAAAACAGAAACAGACUCACAGACUUAGGAACAAACUUAUGGUUGCUGAUGGGGGAAGAAUGGGGGGAAGAGAUAAUCAGGAAGUUUGGGAUGGACACGUACACACCGCUGUGUUUAAAAUGGAUAACCAACAAGCACCUGCUGUACAGCACGGGGAGCUCUGCUCAUGGUCCUGUGGCCACCUGGAUAGGAGGGGAGUCUGGGGGAGAAUGGAUACAUGUAUAUGUGUGGCUCAGUCCCUUCACUGUUCACCUGAAACUAUCACAAUAUUGUUAAUUGACUAUACUCCAAUACAGAAUAAAAAGUUAAAAACAACUCACGGCUGAGCAGAAUCUUAGGCCUUGGUCUCAGGACAUGAGUCCGCCUUCUCCUCAGAUUGCCGACUUUUCUGUUUGAAGCAGCUUUCCUUUCUACCAACACUUGCCCCUUGAGUAUUGGCUUUUGAGUGGCGAGUAGCCAAACCUGAGUCUGGUAACAGCAGAUGCAGCUGAAAGUUGUUGAAUCCAGAUAAAGAAAUAAGCAUGUCAUUUAGAGUUAUGACGGUAACUGCAAUAAUACUGAGAAUCUUUGCUGCGAGGAGGCAAUGGGAAAAUGGAGAGAAAAUGUUCCUUUUCAUCUUGUAUCUUUUUACACAGUUGGAACCUGAAUAAUUUUUUCAAGAAUAGUGUGGCCAUGUUUGUAAUCAUGGUGAUAAUGAGGAGAGGCAACAGUUCAGAAAAUAGAUCAUUUGUGAAGCCUCUUUGGGUUAGAAUGGAUAGUUGGAAGUCUAAGAUGGUUUUUCUUGUCUAAAAAUGAAGGUCAUGAGCCAAUGUUUCAUUGAAACUGUGGAUUCCAGUGUGAGGAGGAAUUCAGUUGGGGGCAGUCUGGGAAUAAGAUUCCUCAGAGCCUCCAAGACGGUUUUAGAAGAGAUAUCUUCAGAUGCGUUCUCUGAACUUUAGUAUCCAAAGGGGUGUGACUCACAUGCAGCCAAUUCAGAAAGAGGGUGGGGAAAGUUAGUAGUGGACCUGGCCGGGACUCUGAACAUUUAAUCUGAAGGUUAAUGUGGUGAAGAUAGGCGGGCUCAAGUAAUGAGACUGAAUUCAUACCCUAUUAAUAGAGCGUAUGGCACAGAAGCACCACACAGCAGGCCAUGGCUGAGCUUUGGAGGGUGUGAUGGGGAGAGGAGGGCCUUCUUGACACCCACAGGGCAGAAGCACCCCACACACAGCAGUGGGGGCUGGAGUUAUCCCAGCAGAAGUUGAGGAGUCUUCCCUUCAGACGUUGCCAAGCUUUGCUAUCAUCCCAAAGGUCCUCUCCUCAUUUGCGUUUCAUUCCUCCUCCUCCUCCCCUUCCUUCUCCUCCCUUCUCACAUCCUAAACGCUUACAGAGAGGAGAUGAGCAGCCUUAUUCACCUACAGGUUGAACUUGCAGCUACAGUGCUUGCCUGAGAAGUCUGGAGGCAAAUCAACGUGAACAUCCAGUGAUAAGGGACCGAAGGCCUGAAUGUAGCUCAGAGCAAUGUGAGCCACCCAGGUGCUCCCUGAGUGGCUGGACAAUCCAGACACAACACUCUUUCACAGGAGGCCAAGGUCAACCUGCAAGACAAGGGCCUCAGCUCAUCCUCCUCUCGUUGGGAAAAUACAUGUUCUCACCCUGAAUCUACAAGAUACUCAUGCUCGAUUCAGAAUGCUUACAUAGCUUACUUCCUCCUGGGCCCUGAUGCCAAUGGACAGAGGGCUCUGCUCUCCCAGACUUCCUUCUACAGAACACUCCAUUGGCUUGAUUAUUUUAAUUA